RNAcentral lists this transfer RNA (73 nucleotides) under Camelus bactrianus (Bactrian camel). It matches the Rfam family "tRNA". From Rfam's summary of the family: Transfer RNA (tRNA) molecules are approximately 80 nucleotides in length. Their secondary structure includes four short double-helical elements and three loops (D, anti-codon, and T loops). RNAcentral also lists the same sequence under 3 other names. The record is from Rfam by way of RNAcentral. Lineage: Eukaryota; Metazoa; Chordata; Mammalia; Artiodactyla; Camelidae.
GAGGGUAUAGUUCAAGUGGUAGAGUGCAUGUUUAGCAUGGACAAGGUCCUGGGUUCAAUCCCCAGUACCUCCU